AAGUCGUAACAAGGUUUCCGUAGGUGAACCUGCGGAAGGAUCAUUAACACGUAUCCAAACGCUUGUAACCCGCGUAGUUCGCAAUCUCUGAUAAUCAUAGCCCGGAAAGUUGUAGUGAUUCAGAGACCUCUGGCUACGUGCGAACAUAGGAACAGUUACAAUCGAGCGGUAGUUCUAUAGGCAACGUUUCCCCAAGCAGUCAGUGUCGGAAAGUGUCAUUGAUUGUGCAAGGAUAGCGCUUGUACGAUUCCUGUAGACCGUACCCUCGGGCAGGAGCUUUGCCAAAGGGUCCCCAUGCCCCCUAAUAACCCCACAGUUUAGAGUGAAGCUCAAUGUAAUACAUUGGGUAGAAAAACCGAACAACUGUUAACAAUGGAUAUCUUGGUUCUC
RNAcentral lists this unclassified non-coding RNA (390 nucleotides) under fungal sp. Its description in RNAcentral is "partial internal transcribed spacer region". The stretch from base 1 to 46 matches the Rfam family "Eukaryotic small subunit ribosomal RNA", at positions 1786 to 1831 of the family's 1831-position model. Lineage: Eukaryota; Fungi. The record is from RNAcentral.